Equus asinus (donkey) is the source of this 2694-nucleotide long non-coding RNA. The record is from Ensembl. NCBI's taxonomy places the organism in Eukaryota, Metazoa, Chordata, Mammalia, Perissodactyla, Equidae.
CACCUGCCGGUUUCCCAUGAGAUAUCCAGCAGAAAUAAAAGGACCAUAUGGUCACAAUACUGUCUCUAAUGAUAAGAGGAGACCUUCACACAAGUCCAGCUGCGUCAUCAGUAGGGACGGACCGAGGAAUAAAUGCCGGGCGUCAGCGGACCGACGGUCUCACAGAAGCUCCCACGGUCAGGCACUGACCACGGAAUAAACGGACAUCCCACGCCGCACACAAACUGUCUUUGGAACUGGUGGGACCAGGUCCUCCCACCCUGCUUCGUUCACACUAUUCCACCUGCGAUCAAUUGUAGGCGCCAUCAAGAUAUCAGGAAGGUAGCGCUUGUACCUACGCUAAGCCAAGCCAGGUGGCCAGCACGACCAUGUGUCCCCGAAACACGUCAUGUGACCCACACGCUCUCAGGAGGUCCCGACACACCUGCCUGAGCACAGUCAGGGACGGAGAAGGUGGAAAACAACAGAGACCCAGCUGUCGCGAGCACGAUGCUCCUUCCUUAAGCGUCUGUAGUGAAGCGAUCGUCUCCGUUCGAUCUGCUACAACAAAGCCCCACGGGCUGGGCAGCUUAUAAACUACACAGACUUACUUCUCACAGUUCUGGCGGCCGGAAGACUGAGAUCACGGAGCCAGCCCUUCUCCAGGUGGCAGACUGCUGACCUCGCCUUGCGUCCUCACAGGGCAGAAGGGGCCAGAGAGCUCGCUGGGGCCUCGUUUAUAAGGACACUCAUCCCAUUCACAAGACCUCGCCACCUCCCAAAGGCCCCGCCUCCAGACACCAGCACGCUGGAAUUAGAGUUUCAACACGCGAAUUUUGAGGGGACGCAUUCCGUCCAUUGUGGCAACCAUGCAUUGCGUACAAAAGAAAUCAGGAGACUAGCGCUGGACAAAGCAAGGAGACGCCUAAGAGCAAACGUCUCCAGCUGAAACGUGUGUGAAAAGCUAACAACCACCAAAGCCGCUUGGCUUCCGUGGAUCCUGUUCCUCAAAGACAGCUGAGGCCUCUUGAAGAGCUGGCCCCAGACCACCCGCAGUGCCCUCCUCCCACGGCAGAGGGCGCCGAAGGACCGGCCUCGCCAGUGUGGACACGGGAUGUGAAGAGAAGGGACUGCCCAAAGCAGCCGUGGUCCCACGUGAGAACUGCCUUCCACAGCAGGUUCAGGGUGCGGUUCAAGACGUCUGUGACCCCCAAAGCCUGGCCUGUUUCCCUGUUGUUCCUGUAAGAGCAAGAGCAGAUGAAAUAAAGAUUUUGAAGGCCUGCCCAGCUCUGGAUGCCAGAAUGUGCCCAGGAAGGCUCUCGGGGUCCUCACUCUCGGGGGAGUGGGGAUGAAUCUGAGAGGUGGUUCUCCUGCGGCCGGCUGCAGCACAACCUUCUUCACACUCCAGAACGAUACCUUCAUUCCUCUCUGCACACUCAAGAUUUUACCCAUAGUCUCUGCCCUUAGAGCAUGCCACCCCAAAGUAUGCCUCUCUGGCAUAAGGAUAUUUUGAGCUGAAGGCAAUAGAGAAGAAGCAGACACAGGAACUACCAGGAAGGGCAGGAUGAUUCUUAAUCACAAGACAACUCUAGAUUCUGGCCAACCCCGGGACUGCCCCCGAGGAAUCCACGAGGAAUCUACGUGACAAACCUCGCUAACACAACCCUCAGCUUCGAAAUGGCAUCGAACUGUGCCUGCUGACCUGUGACUUUGCCGUUGUUCAGAUACUGUUCAUGCAACUGAUGGACCUGCAGAUCCACCUAAUACUCCACAUCUGCCGUGUGACGUUCCCUAGAUGCUCACGUUGUUUAUGUGAGCAAUCCCCUGCUGAUGGAUGUUUAGAUUAUUUCUAAUUUUUUAUCAUAAAUAAGAAUUCAGUGAAUAGCUAUGCAUUUGUAAAUAUUUUAUUACAAUAAAUUCUAGGAAGUAAAAUUGCUGGGUGAAAGAUGUAUACGUUUCAGAGUUCUCAUAUGGUUUUAAAUCUCUCUCAGUCUGACCUCAGGAAAGGUAAGCAAGGGACAGUGAAAGUGGAGAGAGACCCAGGGAGCCCAGACGCACCAGAUCUAAGUCAGCUCACACUGCCAUGGCAGGCAGAGUCUGUUCUCUUGUCGGCGUCUGAAGUGGGCCACGCGAUGGGUCUUUGAGAACCCUCAGUGGACAAAGGCUACUCAAGCUGUUUUGAGAGCACUGGGCAUGGAUGGCCAUGGUGCUCAUCAGCAAAGCAGCUGCUAGUCACUGGCAGCAACAAAGUCACCUCUGUGCCAGGAUCCCUUCUGGUCCUACAACACGGCUCCUCUGAAUGGUAAAGACAAUCCUGAGGAAGCAGAGGUGGACGCCACCUCAGUCCUACAAAAGAGAGAACAAGGAUUUCUAGUCUUUCCUUCAAGAAGUAGCUGAUUGACAGACAAUGUGCAAUGAUCCAAGCUCAGUGAGUACAGGCUGCUUAGCUCCUUGAGACACUAGAUGACAACAUGUAGACCUCAUGCACGCAGCUUGCUGCAGCUUAUCCAACAAAUGUCCAGUGCUUGGCUGAACUAUUACAGGAGAUGAGACCGGCCAUUGUAAAGCUAAUUAAACUACCAAGACGAUGCAUAAGAAAUCAGCUGCACACACAAUGGAAUGGUAUUGGUGCCUGGUUCUGACUCAGAUGUGAUCAUUUUGAGCUGGGCGGGGAAGGGCUCCUCACCUGUAACUAUUUCUUCCAAAUGCAUGCCC